RNAcentral lists this ribosomal RNA (2235 nucleotides) under Lasallia pustulata. RNAcentral's name for it is "eukaryotic LSU rRNA". The stretch from base 1000 to 2235 matches the Rfam family "Eukaryotic large subunit ribosomal RNA", at positions 1890 to 3332 of the family's 3401-position model. Lineage: Eukaryota; Fungi; Ascomycota; Lecanoromycetes; Umbilicariales; Umbilicariaceae. The record is from RNAcentral.
CUUGGGUAAAAUCCUGGAAGUCCUGGAAAUCCUUGAACCCAAGUUUAAUAUCCCUUCCUUUAUAAACUCAAGCACAACCAAGAGUUUAAAGGGCCCUGUUUCUAUCCCUGGUACUCAGAAUUGGUAGCCCCUAUGAUCCUUAGGAAACCCUAAAACCACCUGUAGCCUUGCCUAAUCUGAGCUUAUCCUGACAGAAAAUGGUAUAGACUAGCUAGUCCUUACUCUUUUGUAUAGGAAACACUUGACGAGAGUUCUUUAUAUCCCUUGUACUCAGAAUAGCGCUUUCCCCCGCAGGCUUUUUUGCUAAUCUGAGCUUAUUUGCGUGCCCUUUUGUCAAACCCAAAAAGAAUGACCCUUAGUAUUUGUAAAUCACUAAAGAGAGACAGGAUUUGCUGGUAAUCAAAAACAGAGUUAUGGGUAAUAAAGGUGGUUGCCAAGCAGUGAUAAACACAAUGUCUUGCUUUUGAAAAGUGUGGUUGGACAGUGUGGUUGGACAGUGUGGUUGGACAGUGUGGUUGGAAAGUGUGUUUGCAAAGUGUGGUUGGGAAGGCAGUGUGGUUGAGUUAAGGUUUUUAAGGUUUUAAGGUUUCACCCCACCAAAAAUCACGAAAAGGGUGGUUGAAAAAGCAGUGUGGUUGACUUAAGGUUUUUAAGGUUUCACCCCACCAAAAACACGAAAAUCCCGAGUUGGAGGGUGGAAAAACAAUAGCAAUGGCAGAAUAACCUGAAGAACAACUUGUUUUUGAUGUUUUGAAGUUUGUAAAAGCAAUGUAAGAUAGGUUUAAACCUUAUUCUUACGUGACAAAUGAAGAAAAAAGGCCUCGUGGUUGCUGUAUUGUGGAUUGCGCAAAAAUAUCGUGUUUUUGGUGCAAGAAAACCGCGAAAAUUGCGACAAUUUGGGCAGUGGUGUAACUCCUCACCCACAAUGGGUAUUGGAAUUUUGAAAAGUGGAAUUGGACAAGCCAACUGAGUAGUUUUCACCACUUAUAUUGUUAUAUCAUAUGAGUGGUGUGGUUAAUGGUGGGAUUGCGACGUUUUUUUCAUUUACAGACAAGGGGCAUCUGAUUGUCUGAUUAAAACAUAGCAUUGCGAUGGCCAGCAAGUGGUGUUGACGCAAUGUGAUUUCUGCCCAGUGCUCUGAAUGUCAAAGUGAAGAAGUUCAAAUAAGCGCGGGUAAACGGCGGGAGUAACUAUGACUCUCUUAAAGUAGCCAAAUGCCUCGUCAUCAAAUUAGUGACGUGCAUGAAUGGAUUAAUGAGAUUCUCACUGUCCCUAUCUACUGUCUAGCAAAACCACAGCCAAGGGAACGGGCUUGGCGGAAUCAGCGGGGAAAGAAGACCCUGUUGAGCUUGACUCUAGUUUGACAUUGUGAAAAGACAUAGGGGGUGAAGAAUAGGUGGGAGCUCCGGCGCCGGUGAAAUAUCACUACCCUUAUUGUUUUUUUACUUAUUCAGUGAAGCAGAACUGGGCGUUGCCCCCCAACUUCUGGUGUCAAGGUCCCCUGCGGGACGGGUUGAAGACAUUGUCAGGUGGGGAGUUUAGCUGGGGCGGCACAUCUGUUAAAUCAUAAUGCAGUUGUCCUAAAGGGGACUCAUGAAGAACAGAAAUCUCCAGUGGAACAAAAGGGUAAAAGUCCCCUUGAUUUUGAUUUUCAGUGUGAAUACAAACCAUGAAAGUGUGGCCUAUUGAUCCUUUAGUCCCGCAGGCUAAGCGGUGCCAGAAAAGUUACCACAGGGAUAACUGGCUUGUGGCAGCCAAGCGUCCAUAAUAAGGUUGCUUUAUGAUCCUUCGAUGUCGGCUCUUCCUAUCAUACCAAAGCAGAAUUUGGUAAGAGUUGGAUUGUUCACCCACUAAUAAGGAACGUGAGCUGGGUUUAGACCGUUGUGAGACAGGUUAGUUUUACCCUACUGAUGACCGUUGCCGUCACGGUAAUUCAACUUAGUACGAGAGGAACCGUUGAUCCAGAUAAUUGGUUUUUGCGGCUGUCCGACCGGCCAGUGCCCCGAAGCUACCAUCUGCUGAAUUAUGGCUGAAUGCCUCUAAGUCGGAAUCCAUGCCGGGAGGCGGCAAUUCCCCCCUGCACAUUGUAGUUGGAUACAAAUAGGCCUCCAGGCCCUGGACUUUAGCGGGCUGGCAGUGGCGUCCAGGUGGAAGUCCCGGACGCCAGCCGGCGGAUUGCAAUUUCACCAUACGCGGGGAUAAAUCCUUUGCACACAACUUAACGGACCGGCCAGG